RNAcentral lists this unclassified non-coding RNA (525 nucleotides) under Hevea brasiliensis (rubber tree). Lineage: Eukaryota; Viridiplantae; Streptophyta; Magnoliopsida; Malpighiales; Euphorbiaceae. The record is from RNAcentral.
GAAACAUCAAAAUACCCAUAAAUUAUUCAACAUCUAACAUUCAACUAUCUAUACCACAACGUAAGGCAAGGUUGGAAAGCUACAGAUUUGCAAACCAAAACCAAACUGUAAAACACUACGGAGAGACAUCAAGAUAUCCAUAAACCAAUUAAAUUGGGAUCUUUAUCUUUUACCCAACUAGCAAGCAAUCCCAGCUUUACAUCUAAAACUUACAAAACUACACUACUCGAAGCUAACAGAGACGGAUAUUAAAGCAGAUGCAGGACCAAAUGUUAAAAGCUAAACAGAAUGAAGCUCUAAGAACCAUGAAAACCCAUUAAUCUAGCUACUAACCUUAAUUAAACGGGCCAAAAAAGCGGUCAAAAUGAUUAAAGGAAGAAACUAAAAACUGAGAAAACUGAAGAGGAUCAGCAUACCUGAGAAAAGGAAACACAGAGAAAACUAAGCCAAAGGGUAAAAAGCAUUAUAGUAAGGGAGUAAGGGACGUGUUCUUUAGCUUUUAUAAAUAAAAGAGAAUUUGUGUGA